GUGCUCCUACGGGAGGCAGCAGUCGGGAAUAUUGCGCAAUGGAGGAAACUCUGACGCAGUGACGCCGCGUAUAGGACGAAGGUCUUCGGAUUGUAAACUAUUGUCGUUAGGGAAGAGAAAGGACAGUACCUAAGGAGGAAGCUCCGGCUAACUACGUGCCAGCAGCCGCGGUAAUACGUAGGGAGCAAGCGUUAUCCGGAUUUACUGGGUGUAAAGGGAGCGUAGACGGCGAAGCAAGUCUGAAGUGAAAACCAAGGGCUCAACCCUGGGACUGCUUUGGAAACUGUUUUG
This 291-nucleotide ribosomal RNA is filed under the name uncultured bacterium. Its description in RNAcentral is "partial 16S ribosomal RNA". It matches the Rfam family "Bacterial small subunit ribosomal RNA", at positions 333 to 640 of the family's 1533-position model. The record is from RNAcentral.